CCUGCUUCUAUUUACGGUGAUCAGUUUAUAUCAUCUAGCAAGGUCAGAUCUUAUAUUGCAAAAAAUCACUGACAGAAAUAUAGGAGGUGGAAAAUUAUGAUCAGGAUUUAUAUUUCGUUUAAACUAAUCGGGUUUUUACAGCUUUAGAUAGGACCGCAUGGGCGAAGCUUUUGUCUCGUGUUACAAUCUCUGCCAGUAUAUCAUGAAUUUGUCGUUUUAUAUACAUAAUUAUACAAAAAAAAAAAAUUCUAGCAUAUUUGGAACCAAAACAUGUAUUAUUCGAAGCAGAGUGAGCAAAUUAUCGUUUCAACUGGCCGAAAUUUUUCAAUUCGGAUUAUUUGAUUAUUGUUAAGAUUUAUAUUACGUGUAUUAUUAGUUACGUAGUGUCGGGGAAAAAAAUUCUCAGGAAUCUGAAACUACAUUCUUCAGGAUGAAAGGGAAACUAUACUCAUUCGCAGAUACUUAAGGAGAAAACUGUUUCACCUAGAGCUCACCUUCUUGGGUGACGGAGAAGAGGUUGUCUGAGGUGCCUUCUCUUUCAUUUCUUCCUGAAAAUAAGUAGCAAUGACAUGAAAGAGAGGUGAGAGUGGGAGCAAACCAAUACCUCAGCCAUUGAUCGAACUCUAAGGCUAACAUUCCUGCGCAAGGUUGGUAUGUAUGUUGCGGGAAGGCCGAGCUGGUUCACCCUGGACCUGUUAGAAAGGCGAGAAACAGGGCUCGCCAAGAGAGAUUGAAUGGCAUACGAGGCAGACAUAUCUAAUUGGAAAGAGAGAAAAUUUUCUGGGUUGGAACGAUUUACUUUAUCUCUGGUAUAGGAGCUCCGUUUGAUCAAUCUGCAAAUGCUAGAUGAAGUGAGUGUGCUUAUAUAGAAAAGAGGGUGCAAGUAGGGUGGUGGAUAUUUUGGUUCCACGUCAUAAGGUAUCGGGGUCCUAAAGGUCAUUGGUUCACGUGGAUGAGCUUGUCCACACAUGGAAAAAGCAAGAGGCGUGGCUCUCUUAUGGACCAGGAGGUGCUUCUCAGUGAAUCUGAGGUUCAUAAUGGUUGCACACUUGGAGCGUUAAGGACUUUGGGUUAGGCCGACACUAGAACGUUCCAUUAGCUUCCACAUAAUUGGAGGUACGAUUUUAAUUAAUUAAUUGAAAAAACAAAACUUCUUUAAUGCAUUUAUAGUGUAUUAAUUAAAAUUCUCUACAGUUAGCACUUGGAAAGUUAGGAUAAA
This is a long non-coding RNA of Prosopis cineraria, 1219 nucleotides long. RefSeq lists it as uncharacterized. The transcript has 2 exons. NCBI's taxonomy places the organism in Eukaryota, Viridiplantae, Streptophyta, Magnoliopsida, Fabales, Fabaceae. The record is from RefSeq and is a predicted model, not a curated record.